Molecule: ribosomal RNA, 254 nt
Filed under: uncultured bacterium
Lineage: Bacteria
Description: partial 16S ribosomal RNA
Rfam family: Bacterial small subunit ribosomal RNA
Source: RNAcentral
UACGGAGGGGGGCUAGCGUUGUUCGGAAUUACUGGGCGUAAAGCGCGCGUAGGCGGCUUUGUAAGUUAGAGGUGAAAGCCCGGAGCUCAACUCCGGAACUGCCUUUAAGACUGCAUCGCUAGAAUCAUGGAGAGGUGAGUGGAAUUCCGAGUGUAGAGGUGAAAUUCGUAGAUAUUCGGAAGAACACCGGUGGCGAAGGCGGCGAGCUGGCCUGUACCUGACGCUGAGGCGCGACAGCGUGGGGAGCAAACAGG